AGUUAAGUGAGGAGUUAAAUAUGAGGAACCUUUGGAGUCGAAACAUGGAAAGACGCCCGAAGGUUUUUCUUUUUA
RNAcentral lists this small RNA (75 nucleotides) under Cyanobacterium stanieri PCC 7202. RNAcentral's name for it is "Cyano-1 RNA". It matches the Rfam family "Cyano-1 RNA". The record is from Rfam by way of RNAcentral. Lineage: Bacteria; Bacillati; Cyanobacteriota; Cyanophyceae; Chroococcales; Geminocystaceae.